Molecule: long non-coding RNA, 1411 nt
Organism: Panonychus citri (citrus red mite)
Lineage: Eukaryota; Metazoa; Arthropoda; Arachnida; Trombidiformes; Tetranychidae
Exons: 5
Source: RefSeq, a predicted model, not a curated record
UUCCGUUGGAAAAAAUUAGUUACAUGGAUAAAAAAUGUUCCUCUUAAUUGUUUUUCUUUUGUGAUUAAAUUUAAUUCUAUUCUUUAAUCACUUGCAAUUAAUCGAUAAUCUUAAUUGUUGAAGUGUCUAUUUCUAUUGGAAUUCAAUUUAUUUCUUGUAAUUGUAGUUGUUUGUUUUGUCAUUUCUCUUGUACCUUUUGUGUGUUUUUUUUUCAAUAUUUUCAUUGUGUUUUCAAUUUGAUUGUCAUCAUCAUUGCUAAUGAUUAGUUAAUUUACUUUAUUCAGGCUCAUUUUCACCUAAAUUGUGGAUUAAUCAUUAAGGUAAAAAGUUCUUAAUUAUUAUGGUCAUCUCUCCCCUCAGGUGAAAGUUAAUUACCAAUCUACAGUUGACUUUGCCUACUAAUCACCACGGAAGUAUAAAUAUUGCCUAUUGGAGAUUAAGCUGAUAACCCAUUCACCUUUUUUUUUCAUUUCUUUUCAUUUCUUUUGAUCAACGGUACCAAUUAAUUGUCGAUAACAGUCAACUAUUGAUAUUUCGAAAUGUCAACAACAAUUUACUGUUUGGGUUUAAUCAACUGGCUAAAAUCACUAACAACCACAAUUACCAAUUACAGUAUAUAAAAGGGAAAACUAAUCAGCUGAGAUGGAGGAUAGUUAACUUUAAUCACUUAAUUUCUGGAUUUAAUUAUUCCUUCAAAUCAAUCAAACAAUGAAGAGAAAAUGAACAUUUUUCCACCAUACACCUUAAUCUAAUCAAGUGAACAUUGUAUACAAUUAAUUUUGCAACUUAUAAUCAAGAUGAAUGAAACUUAAAUUGUAUUUUAUUCACCACCACCACCAUCAUCAGUAUCAUCAUCAUCAUCAUGAUUCGUUGUCAUCGUUAUCAUAAUCACACCAGCAUCAGUAACAAUCAACACAUAUCGAAAGCAAGCAAAUGAAAAUGUUUGGUGAUCAAUCAAUUGGAUCAAAAGCUGAAAGAGAGGAAAAAGAAAACUUAACCAAGCAAGAAGAUGAAUGCUAAGCACCAAUGAAGAAGAAAAAUGAUCGAAAAUUUAUCUUCUUCGUCGUUAUAACUCUUUCUUUUCAUUCUUAUCGUCUCUCCCUCUCUUUAUCAUCCAAGAAGGAGAAGAGGAUUGUCACCAGAAAGAGAUGAGAAUAGUUAAUCCGUUAUAAUACAUUAAUUAGGAUCGUUAUCAGUGUAAGACGUGACGACUCUCAUCUUAAUUAUCUGCACGUUCAUCAACACAUGAUAAGUUUCCUCCGUGUACAUUGGCCUUUUUUUCAUGUGUCUAAUUCACUCAACAAUUAACUGAGAAUCCAAAUUUCUCAAUCGUUGCAGUUUAAUAAUCAUCUUCAAUUUGCUUCCCUUUUGUUUUACUGUUUACAUAAAUUAUCCUCAUCAGUUAUUAUUA